RNAcentral lists this ribosomal RNA (332 nucleotides) under uncultured eukaryote. Its description in RNAcentral is "partial 18S ribosomal RNA". It matches the Rfam family "Eukaryotic small subunit ribosomal RNA", at positions 592 to 976 of the family's 1831-position model. The record is from RNAcentral.
CAAUAGCGUAUAUUAAAGUUGUUGCAGUUAAAAAGCUCGUAGUUGAAUUUCGGGUCCCCGCGCUCGGCGCUUCAUUGUGCCGUCGUGGUGUCCCUCCUCGCCGUAAGGCGUCCUUUACUGUGAAAAAAUUAGAGUGCUCAAAGCAGGCAAUCGCUUGAAUACAUUAGCAUGGAAUAAUAAGAUAGGAUCUUGUCUAUUUUGUUGGUUGCGGACAACGAUAAUGAUUAAUAGGGAUAGUUGGGGGUGUCCGUAUUGAGCUGUCAGAGGUGAAAUUCUUGGAUUUGCUCAAGACGAACUACUGCGAAAGCAUUCACCAAGGAUGUUUUCAUUAA